Lagenorhynchus albirostris (white-beaked dolphin) is the source of this 670-nucleotide long non-coding RNA. RefSeq lists it as uncharacterized. The transcript is spliced from 3 exons. The record is from RefSeq and is a predicted model, not a curated record. Lineage: Eukaryota; Metazoa; Chordata; Mammalia; Artiodactyla; Delphinidae.
GACUUCCCUGGUGGUGCAGUGGUUAACUAAUCCGCCUGCCAAUGCAGGGGACACGGGUUCGAGCCCUGGUCCGGGAAGAUCCCACAUGCUGCAGAGCAACUAAACCCGUGCACCACAACUACUGAGCCUGCGUGCCACAACUACUGAGCUUGCACUCUAGAGCCCACGAGCCACAACUACUGAAGCCCGCGCGCCUAGAGCCAGUGCUCCACAACAAGAGAAGCCCCCGCAAUGAGAAGCCCGCGCACCGCAACGAAGAGUAGCCCCUGCUCACCACAGCUAGAGAAAGCCUGUGUGCAGCAACGAAGACCCGAUGCAGCCAAAAAAAAAGGCAGCUGGAACGUGACUCUGGUUCCUGGACGGAGAAACAGGCCCAGAGACAUCAAGCAACAUACACCAGGUCACACAGCAGGAAGGAGGUGGAGCCGGACUGUGAACCCAACACCAUGCUGCUUCUCCUAACACCAUGCAAAGGCCUCACCCAGCCUUCAUGUGGACUCUGGGAGGAAGGCACUUACUACCAUCCCCAUUUUACAGAUGAAAACACUGAGCCCAGAGAAGUGAAUGCAUUUGCCCUGGUCACGCAGUGAAGGUGUGUCUGGCCCUGUAGUCCAGUGGCCAACGGAUCUCAGAGACAAAAGAAAUAAUAAUAAACAGGUCUGAUCUGUGA